AGCCCCUGAAUGGCAAGCCCCAUGCCCGGCGGUGUGGUGAAAGAAAGGCCUUUCGGGGUUGUAAAAGCCACUUUUCAGUCAGGAGGGAAAAGGUUAGUAGUUAAUACCUGCUAGCUGUGACGUUACUGACAGAAGAAGCACCGGCUAACUCCGUGCCAGCAGCCGCGGUAAUACGGAGGGUGCGAGCGUUAAUCGGAAUUACUGGGCGUAAAGCGUACGCAGGCGGUUUGUUAAGCGAGAUGUGAAAGCCCCGGGCUCAACCUGGGAACUGCAUUUCGAACUGGCAAACUAGAGUGUGAUAGAGGGUGGUAGAAUUUCAGGUGUAGCGGUGAAAUGCGUAGAGAUCUGAAGGAAUACCGAUGGCGAAGGCAGCCACCUGGGUCAACACUGACGCUCAGACGAAGCUAA
This 408-nucleotide ribosomal RNA is filed under the name uncultured bacterium. RNAcentral describes it as "bacterial SSU rRNA". It matches the Rfam family "Bacterial small subunit ribosomal RNA", at positions 356 to 762 of the family's 1533-position model. The record is from RNAcentral.